GACGAACGCUGGCGGCGUGCUUAACACAUGCCAGUCGAACGCUGAAGCACCAGCUUGCUGGUGUGGAUGAGUGGCGAACGGGUGAGUAAUACGUGAGUAACCUGCCCUUGACUCUGGGAUAAGCCCGGGAAACUGGGUCUAAUACUGGAUGCUACAUGUCACCGCAUGGUGGUGUGUGGAAAGGGUUUACUGGUCUUGGAUGGGCUCACGGCCUAUCAGCUUGUUGGUGAGGUAAUGGCUCACCAAGGCGACGACGGGUAGCCGGCCUGAGAGGGUGACCGGCCACACUGGGACUGAGACACGGCCCAGACUCCUACGGGAGGCAGCAGUGGGGAAUAUUGCACAAUGGGCGAAAGCCUGAUGCAGCGACGCCGCGUGAGGGAUGACGGCCUUCGGGUUGUAAACCUCUUUCAGCAGGGAAGAAGCCACAAGUGACAGUACCUGCAGAAGAAGCGCCGGCUAACUACGUG
RNAcentral lists this ribosomal RNA (470 nucleotides) under uncultured bacterium. Its description in RNAcentral is "partial 16S ribosomal RNA". It matches the Rfam family "Bacterial small subunit ribosomal RNA", at positions 28 to 507 of the family's 1533-position model. The record is from RNAcentral.